AACAUCGCGCACCUGCGGGAACCUGCGGAAGGAUCAUUACAGAGUGUAAAAACUCCCAAAACCCAUGUGAACAUACCUUUUUGUUGCUUCGGCGGGAUCGCCCCGGGCGCCUUGUGUGCCCCGGAGUCAGGCGCCCGCCGGGGGACCCAAACUCUUGUUUUUAACGAGUAUCUUCUGAGUAACGUUUUUAAAUAAAUAAAAACUUUUAGCAAUGGAUCU
Molecule: unclassified non-coding RNA, 219 nt
Filed under: soil metagenome
Description: partial contains 5.8S ribosomal RNA, internal transcribed spacer 2, and large subunit ribosomal RNA
Source: RNAcentral